CAUGUUCCUACCUACACAUGACGACAUUGACGGUUUCUUGACGGGCCUUGACCUACCGAAAUUAACGAACGAUGACCUAGACCUGCUACAACAACCAUUCUCCAUGGACGAGAUCACGGCUGUAAUAUCGAAACUGCCAGCCCACAAAUCCCCUGGCCCCGAUGGCUUUACUAACGCAUACUACCAGAAAUUCUCACGCAUCCUUACGCCACAG
Non-coding RNA from Pelobates cultripes (western spadefoot toad), 214 nucleotides. NCBI's taxonomy places the organism in Eukaryota, Metazoa, Chordata, Amphibia, Anura, Pelobatidae. The record is from the annotation of a GenBank genome assembly.